Molecule: ribosomal RNA, 429 nt
Filed under: Limosilactobacillus reuteri
Lineage: Bacteria; Bacillati; Bacillota; Bacilli; Lactobacillales; Lactobacillaceae
Description: bacterial LSU rRNA
Rfam family: Bacterial large subunit ribosomal RNA
Source: RNAcentral
CCCCAUCGACGGUGUGUUUUGGCACCUCGAUGUCGGCUCCUCGCUGUCUGUUGCUGUAGUCGGUCCCAUGUGUUGGGCUGUUCUCCCAUUAAAGCGGUACGCGAGCUGGGUUCAGAACGUCGUGAGACAGUUCGGUCCCUAUCCGUCGCGGGCGUAGGAAAUUUGAGAGGACCUGUCCUUAGUACGAGAGGACCGGGAUGGACAUACCGCUGGUGUACCAGUUGUUCCGCCAGGAGCACCGCUGGGUAGCUAUGUAUGGACGAGAUAAACGCUGAAAGCAUCUAAGUGUGAAACUCGCCUCGAGAUGAGAUUUCCCAUUUCCUUCGGGAAAGUAAGACCCCUCAGAGAUGAUGAGGUAGAUAGGAUGGAAGUGGAAGUGCCGUGAGGCAUGGAGCGGACCAUUACUAAUCGGUCGAGGACUUAACCAAG